ACGCUCGACACCUACGGGAGGCAGCAGGUGGGGAAUAUUGGGCAAUGGGCGCAAGCCUGACCCAGCAACGCCGCGUGAGUGAUGAAGGUCUUCGGAUUGUAAAACUCUUUAAGCAGGGAAGAAGAAAGUGACGGUACCUGCAGAAUAAGCAUCGGCUAACUACGUGCCAGCAGCCACGGUAAUCUGAGCGGGCUGGCAAGGC
Molecule: ribosomal RNA, 202 nt
Filed under: uncultured bacterium
Lineage: Bacteria
Description: partial 16S ribosomal RNA
Rfam family: Bacterial small subunit ribosomal RNA
Source: RNAcentral